Molecule: ribosomal RNA, 253 nt
Filed under: uncultured bacterium
Lineage: Bacteria
Description: partial 16S ribosomal RNA
Rfam family: Bacterial small subunit ribosomal RNA
Source: RNAcentral
UACGAAGGGGGCUAGCGUUGCUCGGAAUCACUGGGCGUAAAGCGCACGUAGGCUGAUUGUUAAGUCAGGGGUGAAAUCCUGGAGCUCAACUCCAGAACUGCCUUUGAUACUGGCGAUCUUGAGUCCGGGAGAGGUGAGUGGAACUGCGAGUGUAGAGGUGAAAUUCGUAGAUAUUCGCAAGAACACCAGUGGCGAAGGCGGCUCACUGGCCCGGUACUGACGCUGAGGUGCGAAAGCGUGGGGAGCAAACAGG